GCAAGCCGCAUCGGUCCCCUCGCAAUGAUACGCUGUGAACCCCGCCAGGCCCGGAAGGGAGCAACGGUAACAGCGGACUCGUGUGCCGGGGUGUGGCUGGUGCGGUGAGCCGCCCAUU
This 118-nucleotide signal recognition particle RNA is filed under the name Methylococcus capsulatus str. Bath. The stretch from base 9 to 105 matches the Rfam family "Bacterial small signal recognition particle RNA". Rfam says of the family: The signal recognition particle (SRP) is a universally conserved ribonucleoprotein involved in the co-translational targeting of proteins to membranes. Archaeal SRP consists of a 7S RNA and homologues of the eukaryotic SRP19 and SRP54 proteins. The record is from RNAcentral. Lineage: Bacteria; Pseudomonadati; Pseudomonadota; Gammaproteobacteria; Methylococcales; Methylococcaceae.